GUAGGUGGCAAGCGUUGUCCGGAAUUAUUGGGCGUAAAGCGCGCGCAGGCGGUCCUUUAAGGUCUGAUGUGAAAGCCACGGCUCAACCGUGAGGGUCAUUGGAAACUGGGGUACUUGAGUACAGAAGAGGAAAGCGGAAUUCCACGUGUAGCGGUGAAAUGCGUAGAGAUGUGGAGGAACACCAGUGGCGAAGGCGGCUCUCUGGUCUGUAACUGACGCUGAGGCGCGAAAGCGUGGGGAGCAAACAGGAUUAGAUACCCUGGUAGUCCACGCCGUAAACGAUGAGUGCUAAGUGUUAGGGGGUUUCCGCCCCUUAGUGCUGCAGCUAACGCAUUAAGCACUCCGCCUGGGGAGUACGGCCGCAAAGGCUG
This 371-nucleotide ribosomal RNA is filed under the name uncultured organism. RNAcentral describes it as "partial 16S ribosomal RNA". It matches the Rfam family "Bacterial small subunit ribosomal RNA", at positions 527 to 896 of the family's 1533-position model. The record is from RNAcentral.